UGGCGGACGGGUGAGUAAUGUCUGGGAAACUGCCUGAUGGAGGGGGAUAACUACUGGAAACGGUAGCUAAUACCGCAUAACGUCGCAAGACCAAAGAGGGGGACCUUCGGGCCUCUUGCCAUCGGAUGUGCCCAGAUGGGAUUAGCUAGUAGGUGGGGUAAAGGCUCACCUAGGCGACGAUCCCUAGCUGGUCUGAGAGGAUGACCAGCCGCACUGGAACUGAGACACGGUCCAG
Molecule: ribosomal RNA, 235 nt
Filed under: uncultured bacterium
Lineage: Bacteria
Description: partial 16S ribosomal RNA
Rfam family: Bacterial small subunit ribosomal RNA
Source: RNAcentral